This is an RNA transcript of Cicer arietinum (chickpea), 1159 nucleotides long. RefSeq lists it as uncharacterized. NCBI's taxonomy places the organism in Eukaryota, Viridiplantae, Streptophyta, Magnoliopsida, Fabales, Fabaceae. The record is from RefSeq and is a predicted model, not a curated record.
CUCAACUCAUUUUGUUUUUCUCACUUCUCAUUUGCGAUGUAGUAUUAAUUUACAUUCGAUAACUAAGUAUUUAUUUGCUCUCAAUCAUUAAUUCCAAUCCAUAAAUCAAUGGCAGCACAAGUCUCAGAACACCUUGAGCCAUGGCACAAGCUCGACGACAAAGUCGUAUUGGUAACCGGCGCUUCUUCCGGCCUCGGAUGCGACUUCUGUGUCGAUCUCGCUAAAGCCGGCUGCAGGAUCAUUGCCGCUGCUCGCCGUCUUGACCGCCUCAACUCCCUCUGCCAUCAAAUCAAUAAUAUGUACGGAUACGGAACCCUCCGUGCGGUGGCCGUGGAACUCGAUGUUUCCGCCGAUGCCGUUACCAUCGACAAGUCAGUGCAGAAGGCAUGGGACGCCUUUGGAUAUAUUGAUACCUUGAUUAACAAUGCUGGUGUCAGAGGAAGUGUUAAAUCUCCCUUGGAUUUCUCUCAGAAGGAAUGGGAUGAUGUUUUCAAAACUAACUUAACUGGUUGUUGGUUGGUGUCAAAAUAUGUAUGCAAACGCAUGUGUGAUGCACAGCGAAAGGGAUCAGUUAUUAAUAUUUCUUCAACUGCUGGUUUAAAUCGAGGACAACUAAGUGGAGCUGUUGCAUAUGCAUCUUCAAAGGCAGGCGUCAACAUGCUGACAAAGGACUGGAAUUCGGGACAGACGAUUGGCGUCGGAUCCACUGCAAUCUGCACAUCUUGUUUGGUGAAGUCAGCAUAUAAAGAAUCCAAUCUUGAUUCCACGGAAGAGAUCUUUGACUGCACUGCAGUCACUACAGUUUGGACAUCUUUUUUGUUGCAUUAUGAUCAAACGUGACUGCUGACAGCUCGGAUCCUAAUAUAUGACAUAGGAAGUUACAAGGUGUGUCUAUAAAUAAGCUUCCUGUCAAGGUGUUAAGGAUGUUUGGUUUAACUUCAUUAAGAAAUCCUAAAGUCCCAAAGAGAUGCACAGAUUGACUGAUUUACAUCAAGGAUUUGAUCUCAGGGAAGAUGAUUGAUUGUGCUAAGCAAAGUGGUUGACUCUACUAUCUUGAAGAUGAACCUAAAAACAUACACCAAUCUGGACCAAUAGGUUCUUCAGUUGGAUCUUUUUUUGUUAAAAAUAAUAAGGAUGAUAUUAUGUUGUAGCAUUUGAG